RNAcentral lists this ribosomal RNA (440 nucleotides) under uncultured bacterium. Its description in RNAcentral is "partial 16S ribosomal RNA". It matches the Rfam family "Bacterial small subunit ribosomal RNA", at positions 338 to 795 of the family's 1533-position model. The record is from RNAcentral.
CCUACGGGAGGCAGCAGUGGGGAAUAUUGCACAAUGGGGGAAACCCUGAUGCAGCGACGCCGCGUGAAGGAAGAAGUAUUUCGGUAUGUAAACUUCUAUCAGCAGGGAAGAAAAUGAUGGUACCUGACUAAGAAGCCACGGCUAACUACUUGCCAGCAGCCGCGGUAAUCCGUAGGGGGCAAGCGUUAUCCGGAUUUACUGGGUGUAAAGGGAGAGCAGGCGGCAAUGCAAGCCUGGUGUGAAAGGCGGGGGCCCAACCCCCGGACUGCUCUGGGAACUGUAUAGCGAGAGUGCAGGAGAGGCAAGUGGAAUUCCUAGUGUAGCGGUGAAAUGCGUAGAUAUUAGGAGGAACACCAGUGGCGAAGGCGGCUUGCUGGACUGUAACUGACGUUGAGGCACGAAAGCGUGGGGAGCAAACAGGAUUAGAUACCCCUGUAGUC